UCUUAAAUCAUUGUAUCAAUGGUUCUUGAGAUAACGUAAGGGAUAAAAUUGAUAGUACCUUACUAUAAGUGUUGUCCAACAAUACUGGUGCCAGAAGACUCGGUAACGCCAGAAACGCAAACGUUAGUCGUCCUAAUCAGGCGUAAAGGGUAAGUAGGCUGCUUUGAAAGUUGUUAAUUAGAAAGCUCUUUAAAAAAUUUUUAAAGUAAUUAAUAAUGAAUUAAAGCUAGAAUCAAAUAGGGGAUAAGCCAAAUAAUAUUUAGUGUAAGGCUAAUAUCUUUAGAUACUAAAUGGAAUACUAAGGUGAAAACUUUUAUCUACUAAUGAUUGACGCUGAGGAACGAAGGUGAGAAUAGAAAACAGGAUUAGAGACCCAGGUAUCUCUCACUGUCAACGAUGAAUGGUAGUUGUUAGUUAAACUUAACUAGUAACGAUGUUAACGCGUUAACCAUUCCGCCUUGCGAGUAC
This 468-nucleotide ribosomal RNA is filed under the name Lepiota sp. RNAcentral's name for it is "SSU rRNA". It matches the Rfam family "Bacterial small subunit ribosomal RNA", at positions 423 to 883 of the family's 1533-position model. Lineage: Eukaryota; Fungi; Basidiomycota; Agaricomycetes; Agaricales; Agaricaceae. The record is from RNAcentral.